Long non-coding RNA from Helianthus annuus (common sunflower), 3037 nucleotides. RefSeq lists it as uncharacterized. The transcript has 10 exons. The record is from RefSeq and is a predicted model, not a curated record. NCBI's taxonomy places the organism in Eukaryota, Viridiplantae, Streptophyta, Magnoliopsida, Asterales, Asteraceae.
UGACCCGUUUUUAGUUUGAUGGAUCCAAUAUAAUCUUUCAUUCACUCUAUCUAACCACAAAAUUCGUUUCAUCCAUCCAGACGCUCCACCUUUCUCUACAAACCCUAACCCUAACCUUCAUUUCAUCCAUCGAUCCUCCACCGCUCCUCCACCGCUCCUCCAUCGAACCGGUCGUCGCCAUCACCGUCUUCUCCCCUUCUCCACUCCAACAGUCGCUUCAUGGCUUCUUUCCCGGUGGCUUCAAGAUCCGACACUAUCUCAGCAGAUCCGACACCAGAUCCGACAUCAGAUCGAUUUCUAUGGCUUCUUUCCCGGUGGCUUCAAGAUCCGACACUAUCUCAGUAGAUCCGACACCAGAUCUACUGGUUUGACUGUAGGAUCUUCCUUUUGGUUGUGGGUUCGUCAACGAUGGUGCUUGUGGGUGGAAGAUCUGGCAAGAUCUAUGGUUUAUUUGUAGUAGAUUUCUCUCUAGAAUAGCACAACAAGCACUCUGUUCUUUGGUUUCGAACAGUGCGAGGUUAUGGCGUCUGCAAAUGCUGAGCUGGAGCGACUGCUUAAGGAGACAGGGAAACAGUUAUCGCUUCCUCAUGAUUAUGUACAGUUUACUUCUUUUUUUGAAUCAAUACUUUUCACUGUUAAUGAAAUAUUAUGGUUACACUUGAAGAUUUGUGGAAUUGUAUGAGUUUGGAAGGACAUUUACUGCCGUUUGAUUGAUUAUUUUCUUGAUGUUGCGAGAACGGAAGUGGUACAUCAUACAUGGGGUCAACUGGUCGAGCAACUAUUUCUAGCGGCACUUCAACAGGUAAGAUUUGUAUCUCUAAUGAAACAAAUUGUCUUAAUUGAUGUCUUUGUAGCAUUAUUUGGUACAACCUUUUGAUGUUGUGUAUUUGUGCAUACAGUUAUCAUCUUGCAGGUGUCUAUAAAGCUUAUGAUUUAAGAGAUGAGGGUUCCGACUACUUAGGAAAAGCUGUCUCCAAGGUGAGAACUAAUAGUCUGGGUUAGUGAGGCUAACUGCCUUUGCAGGCCAGAUCAGUCCCUUUCAUUUUCUAUAUCACUUUUGCGAUUUUCUUACAUGAUUUUGUUUUCUAUAUCACAUAAGCAUCUGGGAGGUUGGUUCUCAAGAAAGGAUGGUACAUAAACCCUUCAAGGUUUGGGAUUUAUCUGCUUGCUCAAUGCCUUUCUAGGUAAAGUUCCUUUUCCAAUUUUGUGUUCAUUGAUGCAUGUAAGUGAUGAAUUUUCAAUGGUUGUGAUUCAAGCAAACAAUUUGUUAGAUCAGCCAGGUUGAAUCAGGACCGUUGAGUUCGAUGAAUUCAGGUCCGUACGGAACGUUCAUCGGUGUCUAUGAGGGACAUGGUGGACAGGAGACGUCAAGAUUCGUUAACGAGAAUCUGUUUGCUAAUCUCAAGAGAUUUGCGUCUGAGGAUCAAGAUAUGUCUGCGAAUGUUAUCAAGAUAUGAGUUUCUUUCGGUUGUAAGAUAACAAUGGCGAAUAGCCUGCAAAUAGCGUCUGUGGGGACGUGCUGUUUGGUAGGUGUUAUUUGUAAAGGGUUGAUUUACAUUGCGAAUGCUGGAGAUUUGAGAGUGGUGUUAGGGAGAGCUGAUCGAGAAUGCAGGCGGUGAACGGUUAAAAAGCCAGAAGUCGAAGGUUACCGAAAUUCAAAAUGUGCUGAUUUGGCAAAUUUGGUAAACGUGGCGGCUCUCAAGGUGGCAAUGGACGGUGCAAAAUCGGUAAACAUGGCUGAUUUAGGAUUAUAGCGACUCAUAGCGAGAAUAGUGACAAUUAAUUUCUUUUGAUAUAAAUAGCAAGUAAAUAUAGCUAUAAAAUGGCUGGAUUAUAGAUUUUUGUUAAAUAUAUAUGUAAAAUGGCAUAUAUACCAGGGUAUUUUGAUAUAAUAUACAUAUAAAAAUAUUUAAAAAAUUUUCAUACGUAUCGCUGUUUAUAAAAUUUCCGCCCACUAUUUAUCGCUAUUCGCUAUGUGGCUUAUAGGUACCUUAUCGCUAUUUGUCGCUAUUCGCAAUUAACAACUAUGGGUGCCCUCGGAUGUUGGUGGAGUUGCUAGAGCACGAGCUUUUGCUAAAAAGUUAUCAGAUGCGCCAUUGACCAUUGUUGAUAAGCGGCGUCAUGGGCACAAUGUAGCUGAAGUAACGAAUUUGAACGGUGAUGUGAAAGGUAAAGUAGCAGUUAUGGUGGAUGACAUGAUCGAUACUGCUGGUACUAUUGCCAAAGGAGCAGACCUGUUGCAUCGUGAAGGGGAAGGGGCAUGGAAGUUUAUGCAUACAACACGCAUGCUGUUUUCAGUCCACUAGCAAUUGAUCGGUUGUCAAGUGGUCUAUUUCAAGAGGUGAUUACCACGAAUACCAUUCCGGUGUCUGAAAAGAACUAUUUACCACCGCUGACUGUCUUAUUGGUAGCAAACCUACUUGGCGAGAGCAUCUGGCGUGUGCAUGAUGAUUACCCUAUGUAAAGCAAGAUUUUACUGUUGUCUCAUGCUUGCUUCAGUCUCUAUAAGUACUUCAUCAAGCUCAACACUCUACAAACCCUCAACUACACUCAACUGACGUACUGCUUUUACAUCUACAGCUGUAAAGCAAGAUUUUACUGUUGUCUGAAAGAGAGCAUGCUUGCUUCAGUCUCUACAAAUACUUUAUCAAGCUCAACACUCUAUAAACACUCAACUGAGACGAAUUAAACUUUCAAAUUAAUAUAUUGACUCUUUGCAUCUGGAUCUUGCGUUGUUUCUCGGCUCUCACAUCAAGGUUUCACAUUUUUUGUCGGCUUUUUACAUCUGCCUCUUGCAUUGUUGUAAGUUCUUCCAAAUUUCUUGGUUUUUUUUGUAACUUUUAACUGUGGCUUUUAACUUUAGAAGGUUGUAAAUGUUGAAAUAACUGUGGUUUUUGGAUCUGUAUUCUUUAACAGCCUUUUUGUUUUUUUUUAUUAAUUAGUUUUUGUUGUUGAAUCCAGAUGUAUUGUUUAACUGCCUCUUUGUUUUUUAUUUAAUUGAAAGGGUUAAAAUCCUGUCAAAAUUUUAUCGGUUAAA